Molecule: non-coding RNA, 74 nt
Organism: Rhamnusium bicolor
Lineage: Eukaryota; Metazoa; Arthropoda; Insecta; Coleoptera; Cerambycidae
Source: the annotation of a GenBank genome assembly
GGCAUCGUGGUCGAGUGGUAAGGACACUACCUCUCACCCUGGAGUCCUGGGUUCGAUCCCCGAUCGUGGAGUCA